This 468-nucleotide ribosomal RNA is filed under the name uncultured bacterium. RNAcentral describes it as "partial 16S ribosomal RNA". It matches the Rfam family "Bacterial small subunit ribosomal RNA", at positions 28 to 507 of the family's 1533-position model. The record is from RNAcentral.
GACGAACGCUGGCGGCGUGCUUAACACAUGCAAGUCGAACGGAACGGCCCUGCUUUUGUGGGGUGCUCGAGUGGCGAACGGGUGAGUAACACGUGAGUAACCUGCCCUUGACUUUGGGAUAACUUCAGGAAACUGGGGCUAAUACCGGAUAGGAGCUCCUGCUGCAUGGUGGGGGUUGGAAAGUUUCGGCGGUUGGGGAUGGACUCGCGGCUUAUCAGCUUGUUUGUGGGGUAGUGGCUUACCAAGGCUUUGACGGGUAGCCGGCCUGAGAGGGUGACCGGCAACAAUGGGAGUGAGAUACGGCGCAGAAGACUACGGGAGGCAGAAGGGGGGAAUAUUGCACAAUGGGCGGAAGCCUGAUGCAGAAACGCCGCGUGCGGGAUGACGGCCUUCGGGUUGUAAACCGCUUUCGCCUGUGACGAAGCGUGAGUGACGGUAAUGGGUAAAGAAGCACCGGCUAACUACGUG